Long non-coding RNA from Cryptomeria japonica (Japanese cedar), 1351 nucleotides. RefSeq lists it as uncharacterized. The record is from RefSeq and is a predicted model, not a curated record. NCBI's taxonomy places the organism in Eukaryota, Viridiplantae, Streptophyta, Pinopsida, Cupressales, Cupressaceae. The transcript has 5 exons.
GUUGAGAGAGAAUGAUAACGGGAAGGAGAAUUCAACUGUUGAUGGAGACGGGGAAAAAAGCAUUUGAAAUUAAGAUAAAGAUAAACAUUUCAGUUCAUUCGGUUACAUACAUUCUUUCUUUCUCUGAUUGCCCCUUUCUCUCAACGUUCUGUUCUGUGGUUGUUCCCUUCCUGUUAAUGUUCUGUUCUGCGAUUUCCCCUUUCUUUCGAUGUUCUAUUCUGUGAUUGUUCCUUUCUGUCAAUGUUCUGUUAUUUGAUUGCUCCUUUCUGUCAAUGUUCUGUUCAAUUUUUUCUUUCUUUCGAUGUUCUAUUCUGUGAUUGUUCCUUUCUGUCAAUGUUCUGUUCUUUGAUUGCUCCUUUCUGUCAAUGUUCUGUUCAAUUUUUUUUGAAGUGCUUGCUUUCAUUUUUCAUUUUCUUGUUUGCAGCGUGCACGCUGGUCUCUGUCUAUGUUUUUUUUGUCUGUCUGUCUAUUUUUUUUCGGUGUUACAUUUUUCUGGCUGAGGAGAGGAAAGGCAGAGCAGAGGAAGGGGUAGAGCAACCAAGGGCAAAAUCUUCUUCCAGGAUUGAUGAAGCGAGUUCCAAUGCAGGCAUGAGAUGCACGAUCCAGCAAGGGUUUGUAUAACCGAUGAAGAGAAGAAGAUAUGGGAAGUUCCUUAUGACCUGAUUCCUAGAUCACAAGUAGCUGCUAUAGAAAGAAACCAUAUUUUCAAAACAACUAACCUAGUGUUUGAAUUUUCUAUUUUCUCAGGCAAUGAGUUGAGUUGAUCUUCACCUGUACAGCUGAUCCAUUUGGUUUUGCUAUCAAGAACAGAUCCUAUGGAGAGGUUCUGUUCAACUCCUCGAAUGGCAGCUUGGUUUUCAGUAUCUGAUAUGAAAUUAUUGAGGGAAUGGCUGUGAUAACUGCACCAUGACGGUAAUCCUGUGGUUGUGCAUGGAGAUGGGCACCAAUGUACUAAUGGACAGUCACAUGGAGGCUUAGAUGGCUGAAUUUUGGUUAGCCAGACUCAUGCAGAGGGAAGCCACCAUGUGCUCCAGCGCGUACACUGCACCAGGUUCGUCUCCAUCAGAUGUGUUUCAGCAGUUUACUGACCUCAUAGGAGAUACAGCUGCAAUGCCCUAUUGGGCUUCUGCAUUGGUCCUAUGAUGUGUUAAGUGUUGUUUACUAUCACACUCACCAUGAACGAUGAUAGAUUGCACAAUGGAGUAGAUGGUAGAGAACACAACAAGCUUGAAAUUGUAUCUGUAUCCUGAUUGAAGAAAAGUUCCAUUGUGAAGUGAAAAAAGAUGUAGAACAUUGCGUGAGUAAAUUAAUGCUGACUGAUAUGCAUGUUGAGAUGAAAUUCAUUUGUUAA